This is a long non-coding RNA of Megalobrama amblycephala (Wuchang bream), 1356 nucleotides long. RefSeq lists it as uncharacterized. The record is from RefSeq and is a predicted model, not a curated record. The transcript is spliced from 7 exons. Lineage: Eukaryota; Metazoa; Chordata; Actinopteri; Cypriniformes; Xenocyprididae.
UAUAAUGAAUGACAUUUUUAUACAUUUGUAAAUUAAAUGAAUUCAGAGAGUUCGGAAACUGGAUGAACUAAAGCUCUGUGAUAGUGAGUAAUAUAAUAAGCACACGAGAAAAAUGGAAAUCAAAACCACCAAACUAAAUUCUUUAAAUAUAAAUCAAAGGAGAAUCAGAAAUAGUAUUUGGUCCGUGGCAACACUGUGUGCUCGUGUGUACUCGCUCAUUCACGUCUGUCAGAUGCCGUGCACUCAACGGUGCUGCUGCUUCUCUCAGCCACUCAAUGAACAGAGUAGACGCUAAGAGAGGUGUGAUGGCAGCGGGAAAGCAAGACCUCGCGCUCACAGGACAGUGCUGGUGACAUUUGAAAAGUUACUGAGGUUUGUCCAAAAAGUCGCUAGAUUUGUCGCUAGGCGCUUUUUUGAAAAAUUGUCGCCAAAGGGGUCUGAAAAGUCGCUAAGUUGGCAACACUGGUACUGCGCAUGCGCAUCAUUUCGCUCUGUAACGGUCGACUUCCAGCAGACGGACACAGAGUAAAAGCAGCUGGAGAAGAGACAGCCUGUGCAGCAACAACAAGACAACAAUAAUUAUAAGCAGGGGUGGACUGCAGGGGUCCAGGAUCAAGAGAUCAUUCAUCAUGCAGACCAUGUUCCAGGAGAAGCAGCGUUAUACUGGGUCUGCUUGAUCAUUUUGUUGUCCUGGAUGUGAGAACAUGGUCAAAAGGUGUGUCAAUCAGCAUCCAGCCAUAAAAGCAGCCUUCUCGUUAAAAGGCUCAGGAGGACAAACAGCUGCCAGAGGAGGAUGAUGAUGGCAGUGGUGACUGAGGUGACAGUGCAGCUCAGGAUGAAGAGGAGGAACAUCUUCCAGUUUGCCAAAAUCCAAAGUGAAUAUAUAGAGACAUCCUCCUAUCCUUGCCUCAGAAGAACCUGAGAGACCCUCUUCCUCUUCUCUCACAGCUCUCCAUCAUCUACCUCUACAACACUGUUGGCAAGAGUGUUCUACACAGCUGAGGACACGGUAAUGAGAGAUCUCAAAUUCUUCCUGAGAAAGUCCGCAUGUUCAUGUUCUUGAACAAAAACUGUACAUGUAUUUUUGGGUGGGCCAAACUAUUUGAAGAAAUGCUAAAAAUCUCUAUAUUGUUCUUUAUACAUAUCUUACUCUUUAUGAAUGUCAUCUUCUGGAUUUUUUUAGCUUUUGAGAAGCUCAAGGACUGUAUAUCUUUGGUAAUUGUGAUAUUGUCUGGCAGUAAAGCAGUAUUAAAGCACAUUACCUCAGUAUAUUUGUAGCAGCUGCCUCAUACAGGACACUUAGGAAAUGGUUUAAAAUAUAUUUUUUGCAAAUAAAGUAAUAAAAUAUCUGCUGAA